Molecule: transfer RNA, 72 nt
Filed under: Cytospora mali
Lineage: Eukaryota; Fungi; Ascomycota; Sordariomycetes; Diaporthales; Cytosporaceae
Description: tRNA-Arg (ACG) (tRNA-Arg-ACG-2-1)
Rfam family: tRNA
About the family: Transfer RNA (tRNA) molecules are approximately 80 nucleotides in length.
Source: RNAcentral
GGUCUGCUGGCCCAAUGGCAAGGCGUCUGACUACGAAUCAGGAGAUUGCAGGUUCGACCCCUGCGUAGAUCA